GAAACACCGAUCUCCUGUACGAUCACUAAAGUUAAGCAACAUUGAGCCUGGUCAGUACCUAGAUGGGUGACUGCUUGGGAAUACCACAUGUUGGC
This is a non-coding RNA of Acanthosepion pharaonis, 95 nucleotides long. The record is from the annotation of a GenBank genome assembly. Lineage: Eukaryota; Metazoa; Mollusca; Cephalopoda; Sepiida; Sepiidae.